Molecule: long non-coding RNA, 692 nt
Filed under: Salmo salar (Atlantic salmon)
Lineage: Eukaryota; Metazoa; Chordata; Actinopteri; Salmoniformes; Salmonidae
Description: lncRNA (ENSSSAG00000087924.1, ENSSSAG00000116213.1)
Source: RNAcentral
UGUUGAUGUUAGGUAGGCAGCUACAGUAGCUGAAUGAUGUUAACAUCUUCAGGUUUUGUUUCAUUAAAUGUAUUUUAUUUUAUCUGGGUGCUUACGUCACCUACUAACACCCUGGUACUACCCAUAGAUCCCGCUCUCCUCAGUCUGAGAAAACACUGAGAGAGAAAGAACAACUUGUCAGGUGGUGCAUUGGAGACUGAUGUGUUCCUGUCCUGUCUUUUCAUAAUACUAUUGCAGAUCGACAUAAAAGCCUAAAAGACAGCCGUGGUGUCGCUCUUCAUUUCUUGGUUCUCCUGUGGUGCAUAAGAAACCCGCUACAGAUUGGUGCCGUGACCCGGAUCAACAGAUCAGCUGCAGCAGAUCGCCGGGGGACCCCUAAACAGAACUGGAUCGACAUCACACGUUUAAAACAUUUGAGGGCAAGAACAACUUGUCAGGUGGUGCAUUGGAGACUGAUGUGUUCCUGUCCUGUCUUUUCAUAAUACUAUUGCAGAUCGACAUAAAAGCCUAAAAGACAGCCGUGGUGUCGCUCUUCAUUUCUUGGUUCUCCUGUGGUGCAUAAGAAACCCGCUACACAAACAUUGGUCAAACUGCAUCUCAAUCAUUACCCUCACCAUGGCAACAGUCAAGAGACAGAGCAGCAGCUUGCUUGUCAACAGUGGCACAUGGCUCCAGAACAGCGUAAAAAUGCC